Molecule: long non-coding RNA, 1003 nt
Organism: Cynoglossus semilaevis (tongue sole)
Lineage: Eukaryota; Metazoa; Chordata; Actinopteri; Pleuronectiformes; Cynoglossidae
Exons: 3
Source: RefSeq, a predicted model, not a curated record
CUUUUUGGAAUUAAGCGUAAACUUACAUUUUAAGUCAAUAUUGGGAAUAUUGGAUUUUUUUCACGAUGGUAAGGCUUUAGUCUUGCUAGUUUUUGGAGAUAUUUUGACAUUUCAUUACAUUUAGCAGACACUUUUAUACAAAGCCACUUACAGUUGUGUUGCAUGUGUUUUCUAAAUAUUUCAAUUUUCCUCCAUUACUAUUUAUAGGAUCCUGGCCUGUUUGAGGGAGACGAAUAUGCUGCCCUGGUGACCGAGUGUAAAGAAGGGGGCCAGAAAGAGGGCCUGAUGCUGGACAUGCAUGAAGAGCUGUACAACUGAUUCACAAGUCAGGUCAUCAGAAACCUCAAUGUGGUUCUCAACCUGAACACUGAGGACCUGAAGGACAGAGCUGCCACCUCUCCUGCCCUCUUCAGCAGGUGUGUGCUGAACUGGUUUGGAGACAGAAGCUCUUUACCAGGUCAGUAAGAGACCCAGGUCUAGAGAGACCCAAGUACAAGGUGCCAGACUACAUGCCCAUUGUCUACGACAAACUGGCCCAGCCACCGUCUAAUCCUGAUGCUGAUGUCAAAGGCUGUGUGUGUGUACAUCAGACACUCCAUCAGCUGUACCCGGCUCAGUGACAAGAUUGGGGAGUUGGAAGGAUGGAUUUCUACACUAUAUCAGAUCCAGGAAGAGGAGCGGUUAAUGGACAUCGUUGUCUUCGGCCCAGCUCAAACCACCGCAGGCUGGGCCCCUGCUACCAGCCCCUCUUCUCCGCUCAGUUCCGAGGAAUCCUGGCUCCAACUUGGGGCUAAACCAAAAGCUUGGCAGCUGGUGGACUCAAACCUGAAACCUUCCGGACCAUAGGCCACUUCCUUAAGCACAAAGCCACCACUCGGUAAGUUUUUAAAGCUAUAAAUGGUCUUGCUCCAUGCUACAUCUCUGAUACACUGUCGCUUUAUACCCCUGUUCGAACCCUCAGAUUUGCUGCAGCCCAUUUGCUGAGAAUGCCAGAUCCUCCACC